RNAcentral lists this ribosomal RNA (1500 nucleotides) under Bacillus sp. (in: firmicutes). RNAcentral's name for it is "bacterial SSU rRNA". It matches the Rfam family "Bacterial small subunit ribosomal RNA". The record is from RNAcentral. Lineage: Bacteria; Bacillati; Bacillota; Bacilli; Caryophanales; Bacillaceae.
UAGGAAAUGCGGCAGCCUAUAAUGCAGUCGAGCGAAUGGAUUAAGAGCUUGCUCUUAUGAAGUUAGCGGCGGACGGGUGAGUAACACGUGGGUAACCUGCCCAUAAGACUGGGAUAACUCCGGGAAACCGGGGCUAAUACCGGAUAACAUUUUGAACCGCAUGGUUCGAAAUUGAAAGGCGGCUUCGGCUGUCACUUAUGGAUGGACCCGCGUCGCAUUAGCUAGUUGGUGAGGUAACGGCUCACCAAGGCAACGAUGCGUAGCCGACCUGAGAGGGUGAUCGGCCACACUGGGACUGAGACACUGCUCAGACUCCUACGGGAGGCAGCAGUAGUGAAUCUUCCGCAAUUGACGAAAGUCUGACGGAGCAACGCCGCGUGAGUGAUGAAGGCUUUCGGGUCGUAAAACUCUGUUGUUAGGGAAGAACCAGUGCUAGUUGAAUUAGCUGGCACCUUGACGGUACUUAACCAGAAAGCCACUGCUAACUACGUGCCAGCAGCCGCGGUAAUACGUAGGUGGCAAGCGUUAUCCGGAAUUAUUGGGCGUAAAGCGCGCGCAGGUGGUUUCUUAAGUCUGAUGUGAAAGCCCACGGCUCAACCGGUGGAGGGUCAUUGGAAACUGGGAGACUUGAGUGGCAGAAGAGGAAAGUGGAAUUCCAUGUGGUAGCGGUGGAAAUGCGUAGAAGAUUAUGGAGGAACACCAGUUGGCGGAGGCCGACUUUUCUGUUCUGUAACUGACACUGAGGCGGGGAAGGCGUGGGGAGCCAAACAGGAUUAGAAUACCCUGGUAGUCCACGCCGUAAACGAUGAGUGCCUAAGUGUUAGGGGGGUUUCCGCCCCUUUAUUGCUGAAGUUAACGCCAUUAAGCCCUCCCGCCUGGGGAUUCCGGCCGCCAGGGUUAGAAUUCAAAGGAAUUGACGGGGGGCCGGACCAAGCGUUGGAGCAUUUGUUUUAAUUCGGAAGCAACGGGAGAACCUUUACCAGUUCUUGCCUUCUUCUGCCACCCUAGGGGUUAGGGUUUUUCUUUGGGAAGCGGAGUUGCCAGGUGGUGCCAGGGUGAUUGUCGUCAGUUGGGUGUCUGGUGAGGUGUGGUUAGUUCCGCCACGAAGGCGCAACCCUGGUUUUUAUUGCCCUCCAUUAAGUUGGGCCAUUUUAAGUGGCUGCCGGGUGCCAACCGGGAGAAAGGGUGGGAUGACGUCAAAUUCAUCCAUGCCCCUUUAUUGCCUUGGGGCUAUACACACCCCUGGUGUCUCUAAAAUGGCCGUACAAAAAAGUGCCAGGCCCGGAAGGGGAAGUUAUUUUCAAAAACCCUUUUCCAUUUGGGAUGUUGGGUUCCAAUUGCCUACCAGGAAGCGGGAAUCGUUGUUAUUCGGGGUUCACCAGGCGCCGGGAAAUACUUUCCCGGCCUUGGUCCCCCCCCCCGGCCCCACCAGGGGAUUUGUUACCACCGGAGUUGGGGGGGGAACCUUUUGGAGCCAGCCGCCUAAGUGACAGAAGGGGU